CCUAUGUCAGUUUUUUGUAAGGAUUCUUGAAUUUUAUUACUAUCCUAUUGUUAAUGCUACUUUAAUGAUAAUGAUGUUAAUAUUUAUCCUUUCCCCUUCCCCAAGAAAAAAAGUCAAGAAUAGGGUUAACUAGGAAGCUCAUUUAAGUCUUGAUUUCUUUCUAACCAAGGGCUUGUGAAACCAUCUGUGUAAACAAUUGAUUAAAGUUAACCACAAGGGACAAUGCAUGUCUCCUUUGCUUGUGGGUUAAUCUGCGGUUUGAUAUCAGUUGUUUAUUGUCUGUUCUGUAACAGACAGAACGAGUAAGCUUCAUAAGUGAAACCCAUAGAAUGUAUCCUUUCUUUUUUCAGUCUUGAUGUCUGAAAAUAGCAUACUUUGGACAACUAAGAUUUAUUUACUUGAAAUGGAAAGGAGUUGAGUAAAGGGCAGGUAGGAGGGGAGAAGGAAAUUUAUUCAACAAUUGUUUUUAACAAAUUGAGAAAAUUUGUAUUAGCAUGUGCAGGUCUUAAGCCAUUAUCAGAAAUAAUUUUUAGUACUCGUAGUUUUUCCCAUUUUACCAACAGAUAGAAUGAUAAGGCUCAUUACCUUUAGCAAUAAGACAUUUCAUGGUUAUGCAUGGCUGUGUUGCAUGUAUUGACCUUUCAGUUGAAAUAAGGUUAUUUAUUGUUACAAUUUUUUUUUUUAUUAUAACUUUUAGAGGAAGGCAAGUAAAAACCAAUCAUGUGCAAAGGGUUCUAAGGAAUGGAAGUAUAUAAUCAUUAAGCUUGAAUUGAAUGCUGCAGAAUCAUCAAAAAGAAAAAAAAAUAAAGGGAAGAGGAUAAAGGAAAGGAAAUUAACAAGGUAAUCAAAAGGUAUAUGGUUACAGUAGUGCUGGCUCUACAGGCAGUCAGGUCAGUUAGCUACUUCCCAGUGAUUGCAGGCUGCAAGUUUUCUCUGCACAAAUAGAAAUAUUGCCCUGAUCUCAUAAUUUUUACCUUUUAAUUUUAUGAUAUACCCAUGUAAUGCUCAGUCAUGGUGUAGAACUUUUCUUGAUAUUUAAUAUCAUUUGAUAUUUUGUCACAAAGAAUAGUUAUUGAGUAUAUGAUAUUAAGAUGGAAAUCACAAGCAGAAUUUAUGCUCUUGUACAGAUUACUGAAUGAAAUUGUGGGAUGAAUUCAUAUCAGACAGGAGUAGAUAAGUAGAGAUACUUCUAAAAUAUUUGAAUGUAGAUUCUUAUGUAAUGAUGAUUUUUUAAGUUAUGGAUUAUGGAGAAACACUUCAGAAAGGGGAUCCUUUUGUGCAAGUGCGAAAUUGGCCUAAACCCCAUUCAACAGUUUGGUUUGUCAUAUAAGCCAGUUCUUUUGACUAUUAAAGAGUUGCUUGUACUGGAACUAUUGCACUGCUGACUAGUUAAACGGAGAUGCAUUAUCUCAGACCCUCCAGUGUAUGGGCCUUGGCAAGAUGCUACUAUUUUACCCAAACCUAGUUCUGGUGAUGGAAUCUAUUGUAUUUAUCUCAAAAUACAAUUAAUGUGCUGUUACACUGUCUUUGGAAAUACUUAUGUACUUGUUCAUUUUGUACCAAAUGUUGAUUUAAUCCAGAAAUAAAUUAACAAAGGCUAAUUAGGGACUUCAUAAACCCUAAGCAUAGGCAGGUGGAUAACAGUUCUAAAAUAGAUAUAGAUUAACAUAAUUAUAAUAUUCUCUCUCUCUCCCAAAAAAAAAAAAAGGUUAUCCUUAAUAAUAGUCUUUUGAAGCUAGAGUUAAAUAUAGCCGUAACUGUAGGUUGAACCACAAUACAUAGACAUUGGCAAGAUGUUACAUAUAAUUUACUAAAUUGGUAUAUUUUAUUAUUUUAUUGAUUUGUUAUUAUUCCUCUGUUGGAGACACAUCAAGCCAAUCAGUGAUUUUUGUGUCUUAAAGGAAUAAUAUUGCAUUAUUGUAGCAGUUCAAAUAGCUUGUACCUAUAUUGGCAUAAUAGUUACAUAUUUUGCCUCCCCAGACCACAAAGAUUUAGGGGGGGGGUGAAGAUUCCUAAGUCUGGGAGCUUUCACUCGGUGAUAAUGUGACACUCUUUAGUAUAUAUUUAUGAACUGACCCCGGUCUGAGUAAAACUAAGAAUUAGGUGUGUUUUUAACGUAGGUGUUUAUAAAUAUCAUUAAUUGAUAGUAAGUAAUUUAGGCUUCUAUUUUCAGGUUAUACCCCAUUUCUGGAGCAAUUCUUGUUGGAAUUUGGAGUUGAUUAUAUUGAGAUAAGAUCAUAAUUAUUUUUUUAAGGUUUAUAAUUUAGUUACAGGUAAAGAUAACCCUAUUAUCUAGGAGCUAAGGUUGUUUUCCGAGUUGCUUUUAUUGCAGGCAAAGAAACCACCUGCUGUAGAUUUGCUUUUUAUGGCUAUUUUCCAUUUAGGAAAAAAACUUACUUGCAAUCUCUGUGAUAAAUAGGCAUACUCUACAGAUUUCAAGUGUAGGAAAAUGUUGGUUGUUGAUAUAGUGAAUUGUUGAAAAUUAAUGCAGACUAAUUGUAUAUAUUAAUGCCAACUUAUACUUUUAUAUAAAUGUAUACUUUUCCAUCUUUUUAAGGACAAUAAGUCUGGCUAGAGGAUUUCAUCACAUCACAUCACUACGUCAUCUAGUGUAGAGGAGAAGUAGUGAGGAGGCCACUGCUAGAAUACAUUUAUCUGCUUCAUGGAUUAUUCCUGAAAACAAGUUGGAAAAUGUCUACGCUAAGUUGAGUACAAUAAAACCCAGAGGGAACAAACUUUGUUUUACUUCCUUUAAUUGCAGUGCAAAAAUUUGUUUUAAGGCUUUACAAUGGAAAAUAAGUUUUGCUAAAUGUUUCCCAAAAUAACAAACUGCAAGCAGUUUCUUCAGUGUUUCUCGCCUAUGACUCACAAUGUUAAGAAAAUACAGAAGGGCCCACAUACAUGCCACUGUUUGUUCACUAAAGGUUUCAUUUCAUGAUGCACAUUACCAAUCAUGUAGCACAGAAUAUUACUAUAGAUCAAGAGAAAGAAAAUUGGAAUGUCUCCUCAAUAAGCACAAUUUCUGCACAAUAUAUUUGACACUACAUGAUGAGUUACCAUCACUGUGCAUUUUAGCCGAGGGAUUUUUUUUCUAUCUGAAAAUUCCAUACCAUUUUCACAAUAGUGUAGCUGCUCUGUCUUAUUACCUUAUUAGACUUGGUAUCAAAAUAUAUUAUCCAACUACACAAGCAGUAUACUGUACAUAACCAAUUUAUUAUUUCAAAAUGGGUGUCUGUUUACGGUGGUUCUCAAAAUUGCAUUGAAUGGAAUUUAAUAUCUACUUAAUGGGGAUUUGAGAAACUACAUGCACAUCUAGCUGUAACAAGUUUACAAAAUACAAUAGGAACAGUCUUCAAUUGGCAAAAUGCAGAUAGCACAGGCACCAGACAAGAUACCUUUAAAUACAGUAUGUGACUAAAGUCUCGACUGAUAAAUGAAAUGUUCAGCAGAAAUAAUUUAUAUACAUAUGAAAAGGCUGAUUCCAAAUUGCCCACAUAUGCAAUGCUAAAACCCGAGAAAUUUUUACAAGCAUAUCAUGUACUGUGUGGCAGGUAGCAUUGUUCGUCAUGAUACUAUGGUUGGACACGAGGUUAUCACACAAGCAGCAAAUUUUGUUUGGUAUUACAUUUCAAAAGUAUAUGCCCUUGUCAGUUUUUAAAGUGGACUGAUGGUUUGAUUUACUUUUCACAGGGAAUCAAGUAAA
Molecule: long non-coding RNA, 3703 nt
Filed under: Penaeus monodon (black tiger shrimp)
Lineage: Eukaryota; Metazoa; Arthropoda; Malacostraca; Decapoda; Penaeidae
Description: uncharacterized LOC119574976
Source: RNAcentral